This 164-nucleotide small nuclear RNA is filed under the name Mandrillus leucophaeus (drill). RNAcentral's name for it is "U1 spliceosomal RNA (ENSMLEG00000001130.1)". It matches the Rfam family "U1 spliceosomal RNA". Rfam says of the family: U1 is a small nuclear RNA (snRNA) component of the spliceosome (involved in pre-mRNA splicing). The record is from Rfam by way of RNAcentral. Lineage: Eukaryota; Metazoa; Chordata; Mammalia; Primates; Cercopithecidae.
AUACUUACCUGGCAGGGGAGAUACCAUGAUCACGAAGGUGGUUUUCCCAGGGCGAGGCUUAUCCAUUGCACUCCGGAUGUGCUGACCCCUGCAAUUUCCCCAAAUGUGGGAAACUCGACUGCAUAAUUUGUGGUAGUGGGGGACUGCGUUCGCGCUUUCCCCUG